CUUUACUGCAACUUGACGUUGGAACUUGGCUGUAUUUGUGUAGGAUAGGUGGGAGACUUUGAAGCAGGGCCGCCAGGUCUUGCGGAGUCGUCGUUGAAAUACCACCCUGGUGCUGACGAGUUUCUAACCGUGUCCGUAAGCCGGACAUGAGACAGCGUCUGGUGGGCAGUUUGACUGGGGCGGUUGUUUCCUAAAAGGUAACGGAGGCAUUCAAAGGUUUCUUCAGCGUGGUCGGUAAUCACGCGCAGAGUGCAAACGCAUAAGGGGGCUUAACUGCGAGACCGACAGGUCGAGCAGGUACGAAAGUAGGAGUUAGUGAUCUUGCGGUUUAGCGUGGAAUUGCCGUUGCUCAAUGGAUAAAAGGUA
RNAcentral lists this ribosomal RNA (366 nucleotides) under uncultured organism. Its description in RNAcentral is "bacterial LSU rRNA". It matches the Rfam family "Bacterial large subunit ribosomal RNA", at positions 2099 to 2465 of the family's 2925-position model. The record is from RNAcentral.